This 837-nucleotide long non-coding RNA is filed under the name Pan troglodytes (chimpanzee). Its description in RNAcentral is "lincRNA". The record is from RNAcentral. Lineage: Eukaryota; Metazoa; Chordata; Mammalia; Primates; Hominidae.
GAUUCCCUGAGCCUUGACAAAGCAGGAGCCCUCCGUGGCGGUGCGUCGGUGUCGAGGCUCCAAUCUGACUAAUCCAGGGGGUCGACAAAACAGAUUCGGGACACUAUGCUACACGGAGGGCCUACCAGGAUGCAGAAACAGCAGACGGAGUCCAGGGAAAGCAGUGCGGCAUCCCAGCCUCAGGCCUGCCCGUACGGUGUUCGGAAAUACUAGGCUUUAGAAUUUCACCUUAUGAAUUUUGGGAGAGAGGAGCACAGUUCAGCCCAUAACUAACACACGUGAUGAAGAAGACAUGCCAACAGAGGGUUAAUUCCAGAUAAAAUGAAAUGUUCCAAACAGUACGUUUGGUUAUUUGAUCCAUCUGUGGGGGAAGGAAAGAUAAUUUUCCAAAGGACAUUCCUCCUAAAUUCUGUCUUAAAGUUGUUUACGGAAUGAAGUUGAUAAUAGUGAGACCUUGUUGGUACAAGACUCUGUAACAUAACCUGCGCUUCUCAACAAAGAAUUGCUUUUCUGACUUCUGCACUCAAUAGCAAGACAAAUCUCUCCUCUGUCUUUUUCUUAUCAGACUACUCAACAUGAAGGCAAUAAGAAUGAAGACCUUUAUGUAUAAUAAUUGACUUCCACUUAAUAAAUAAGGUUACUUGGUACACUGGUCGACAAAACCUUGAAAUGUUGAUGUUUAAGGGCUGUUGAUUGCUGGCAACAAAGAAGUCCAACUGUGCUGGUACCCGAGAUAGCGUCUCCACAUUUUCUUCCAGGAUCAUCACCUUUGUUGUAAAUAGCUCCCACAUAGUGUGAACAGAAGUCAUAUGUUUUAGAUUUUCUGCCUUGGCACCC